This 7020-nucleotide small RNA is filed under the name Mytilus galloprovincialis (Mediterranean mussel). The record is from RNAcentral. Lineage: Eukaryota; Metazoa; Mollusca; Bivalvia; Mytilida; Mytilidae.
CGUUUUCAGUUCAAUCAAAACAAAAUUAGAAUAAUAGAAGUCCCCCACAGAGUAAGUUUAUUUCCCUGCCUGAUUAUAUUUUUAUUAUGUAUAAGAAGUAUGCACAAAUAGUGCAAGGUAUACAUUUUUGUGUUUUCAACCCGUUAAUAAAGGUUCUAUUUUUUGGUUCAUACGAACUGAAUUUCUAACUUGGUCCAGGCAAUACACACUUUGUAAACCUAUAUAUAAAAGUAUUUUAAAUACUUACCUUCAUAGACAUAUAUAUUUUUUAGGUGUUUUGCAUUUAUUUAUUACACACACAAAGUAAAAUUCUCUGUCUAGGUUACCAACCAUUAUCUUUUCUUACAUGUAGUGAUAGGCAAACUUACACAUUGGGAAUUGUUGGUUAUGUAUAUUUACACCUUAGGAAUGCUUAUGUGCUAGUUUGUAGUCAUGGUUUAGGCAUGCAUAUAUAAGCAUGUAACAUAUUUAUAGGCACAGGUUUUAUAGGACACUUUGCAAGUGUUUAACUAGGAUUUCGAUGUGUGAGCUUUUGACUGAUUGAUUGAUUUAGGUGUGUGUUUUCAUAUACUGUUAGUGCAUGUGUACUUACCUGAUACUUACCUAAUUUGUGUAUUUUUUGUUUAUUAUACUAAGACAUAUUGUAAUAGGAACAUUUUAUUAAUUUCAGCUUUCUACCUUCCCCUGGGAAGUAUGUAUUGUAUGGAAAUAAAGAACAUUUAUAGAACAUUAGGCUUUCAUAUAUAGCUAUAGAACCCCAGAACACUACAGUAGAAAGUCUGCGACAUGGACAAACAGGAAGAAUCAGAUGAACCAUUGGUAUCUGGAAGAAUACGGAAGUACACUCCAAAAGCUAAGGAUAUUUUUGAGGGAAACGUCUCGGGAUAUUAUAAAGUACUCUCAGAAAUCAGAACUAGUAUUAUAGAUGAAAGUUUGAAAUACUUAGAUCAAUAUUCUGAAAAUGCUGAAGUUUUGAAAGAAGUGAGACAGGUCUUGUUAGAAGGGUUAGAGAAAUAUCAUGAACAAUCGAAGGAAUUCAGAGAAUAUUUAUUAAUGCAAAAAACUACAGACAGUAUCAAUGAACUUUAUGCAUUCAAAGUUGUGUAUCAAGCUACAGAACAUAAAGUUAGAUACGGACUAAGAUUUAUCGACAAAAGGACAGCUGAAUUAAACCAAUUGACUCAGGAAAGUCAUGAUAGUAAAGCUAGGCAGUCAAGUCACCAUAGUAAAACUAGUCAGUCAAGUCACCAUAGUCAAGCUAGUCAGUUAAGUCACCACAGUAAAACUAGUCAGUCAAGUCACCAUAGUCAAGCUAGUCAGUCAAGUCACCAUACUCUAGCUAGUCAGUCAAGUCACCACAGUAAAACAAGUCGGUCAAGUCACCAAAGCAAAUCUAGUCAGUCAAGUCACUCGACGAAGACAAGUCACAGAUCUAGCAAAGACAUUUAUAUAGAUAAAAAGUCAAAGGCAGAAACCGCAAAGGUCAGACUUAAGAUAAUAGAAGAAGAAGAAACGCUUAAAAGAGAACAAAAUAAACUGGAAUUAGAAGUGCAGAAGAAAAGGUCCGAUUUGGAAUCCAAUUUAACAGUUUUAAAACAUAAACGAGAAGUGGCUGAGGCAGAAGCAGAGUUAAGUGUGGUUAAAGAAGUACUAGAAGAUAAAUGUGACAGUAUAAGCAAUAAAAGCGGGAAAUUACCAGACAAUGAGAUAUGCACUUCUGAAAUUGUAAAAUCUUAUGUUGCCAGUCAGAGACCGGAAGUUUGUGUUCCAGUUGAGGAAACAAAAUUAAACCCUUAUGUGCCAGAAUUUGUGCCUUCAACAACACUGCCAAAGGAAAUUAAAACAUCUCAACCGCAACAGACUAUGCUUGUGUCAGAAACUCCAGUCUAUAGGUUAGAUUCUGAAAAAACUUAUACAAAUGAAAUACCAUCACCUGGAAUAAUUGACCUCACAAAAUACAUAAUGAAAAAAGACAUUAUGUUGUCAAGAAUGUCACAAUUUGACGACAAGCCAGAAAAGUACUGUAGUUGGAAGAGAAGUUUCAAAAACAUUAUGAAAGAACUCGACGCAACAAGCCCAGAAGAAUUAGAUCUGUUGAACAAAUGGUUGGGCCCGCAAUCAAAGAAACAGGCAUCCAGCUUAAGAGUCGCAAACGUUCAUGAUGAAACUCUAGGCUUAGAGAAAAUUUGGGAGAGGCUUGAUGAGAGGUAUGGAGCACCUGAAAGUGUAGCCGCCUCACUCAAAGAACGCUUGGACAGAUUUCCUAAAAUUAAAAACAAUGAAUACGAUAAAUUGUAUGAACUCGCAGACCUUUUGUCUGAGAUCGAUUCAGUUAAACAGAGUGAAAGAUAUAAAUUAGUUUUGGCGUACUUCGACGCUUCAUAUGGAGUGAAUGAAAUUGUAACAAAACUGCCAUACUUCAUGCAAACUAGAUGGAUUGACCACGCCAGCAAGUACAAGCUCAACAAUUCAGUGAUGUAUCCACCAUUUAGAACUUUUGCAGAAUUUAUUCACUCUUUAGCAGUAAAGAUGAACGACCCAAGCUUUUAAGUUUCAACAGACUGAAUCCGGUAGUAACCGAAAAGAUCCUGAAAAGCAGAAGUUUAACAAUAGAAAUGCAUUAAAUAGACAAGUAUUAAACACAAAAAAGACUAAAGUAGAAAAUCAAAACUCAAAUGACCUUAAGUGUCCAGUACACGAAGAAGGGAAACAUAAGUUAGUAGAAUGUCGAUCGUUUCCUACCAAACCCCUUGCAGAAAAAAGGGAGAUAAUAAAGAAACAUGGUAUUUGCUUUAAAUGUUUAAAAGGCAAGCAUCUGGCUAAAGACUGUUCAGCAAAGGUUAAAUGCGAAAAAUGUGGAAACUCAUCACACUGCACAGCGUUUCACAUUGAACGUCAGGAACCAUUGUUAGAUAAUGGCGGGGAACGAAAGAAGAUAAACGAAGAUAUCCCAAAAGUAGGAUCAUUAUGUACAGAAAUUUGUGGCGACGCAAAUCAGUUUAAUGGAAAGUCAUGUGCAAAAACAUUACUGAUAAACCUAUAUCCAAAGGGAAAACCAGAACAACGUGUUAAAACAUAUGCCAUAAUUGAUGACCAAUGUAACAGGUCUUUAGCUACCUCUGAAUUUUUUGAUACUUUUAGCGAACACUAUGAUACUAUACAGUAUACCUUGUCAUCGUGUUCAGGAAAAUCUGCACAGUCUGGUCGUCGUGCCACAGGAUUCAGACUUGAAUCAUUCGAUAGAAAUACUCAACUCGAGUGCACAUCACUAAUAGAAUGUAAUGACAUUCCAAAUUCCAAACAGGAAAUAGCUACACCUGCUGUAGCCAGACAGUAUAGUCAUCUAGAGUCAAUAGCAGAAUUUAUCCCUGAAUUGGACCAGGACGCCAACAUUUCACUUCUUAUAGGAAGGGACAUGAUAAGUUGUCAUCACAUUUUGGACCAGAUAAUUGGUAAAGAUCAUGAACCAUAUGCUCAGCGCCUACGGUUAGGAUGGACUAUUAUUGGAGAAGCAUGUCUUGGUCUAGUGCAUACAUCUGAUGUCAUAACUGUCAACAAAACAUCAGUUUUACCAAAUCAGGAAAUAACCCUAAAACCUUGUGAAUAUAACUUUAAGGUCAAGGACACAAAACUAGAACAAAAAUCUGAAUAUAGUGAUAUAUUUGAACAGACUGUAGAAGAUAAUGAAGUGGGAUUAUCCCGUGAAGAUAAGGAGUUUAUAACCAUUAUGGAAAAUGGAGUAAGGAAGGAAUCAAAUGGUAACUUCAGUGCACCUCUGCCUUUUCGCAAAGAUGGUACAACACUAAGUAAUAACUAUGAACAAGCACGAAAAAGAGCAGAAAACUUAGGAAGGAGUCUAAAGAGGGACCCGAAAAAGUUAGAGGAUUUUCUUCAGUUCAUGGAAAAUAUACUUAAGAACAACCAUGCAGAAUUGGCACCCCCUAUCAAGGAUGGAGAAGAAGUAUGGUAUUUGCCCAUUUUUGGAGUGUACCAUGCUAAGAAACUAUCUAAAAUAAGAGUAGUAUUUGAUUCGUCGGCUAAGUACCAUGGGAUUUGUCUAAAUGACAUACUGCUUAAAGGACCAGACUUAACAAACAAUCUAGUUAGUGUAUUAUCAAAGUUCAGAAUAGGUCAGUUUGCAGCUAUUGCUGAUGUGGAGCAAAUGUUUUUUAACUUUGAAGUUCAAGAGAAUCACAGAAACUUUCUCAGAUUUAUUUGGUUUAAGGACAAUGACAUUGAAAUGCCACUUGUAGAGUAUAGGAUGCGAGUCCAUGUGUUCGGAAACUCUCCAUCUCCAUCAGUUGCAAAUUAUUGUUUACGAAAGGCGGUUUGUAAUCAUGAAGGAGAAGAACCGUGUGACAACGUAUGUAAAUAUGUGAAAGAACACUUCUAUGUUGAUGAUGGACUUCUUUCUAGUGACAGUGAAAAAGACAUUGCUAGUCUUUAUUAAAAGAACACAGGAUAGACUAAUGACGGGUGGUAAUAUUCGAUUACACAAAAUCUUAUCGAAUAGUAACAAAGUGCUUUCUAGCUUUCCACAAAAAGACUUAGCAAAGAAUAUUACGGAAAUAGACUUUGAUUCUGACGCAUCUUGUUUACAGCGUAGUUUAGGCUUGAGCUGGGACGUCAUUCGAGACAUAUUCACAUAUCAGCUAUCAGCAGAUGAGAAACCUUACACAAAAAGAGGAGUACUCUCAGUCAUAAAUGGAAUUUUUGACCCUAUAGGUUUUGUAGCGCCUGUAAUCCUAGGAGGGAGACUGAUAAUGAGACAAGCUUUACAGAACGCAAGUGUAGAAUGGGAUGAUCAAUUACCAGAAUAUUUGAUGAAUGAUUGGCAGGUCUGGAAACAAUCAUUAAAGGACUUAGAAACAUUAGAAAUCCGAAGAUCUUUCACUGAAACAUCUUUAGGCGACUGUUCAAAAUGUGAACUCCACAUCUUUUCAGAUGCAUCCAAAGAUGCUAUAGCCUCAGUAGCUUACAUUCGCACAUUCAAUGACAAUGGACAUUCUCAGUUGGGAUUCGUAUUAGGAAAAUCAAAAUUAGCACCUAACCAUGGUCACACCAUACCCAGACUUGAGUUGUGUGCAGCCGUUCUAGCAACAGAACUUGCGUCAUUCAUUCAGAAGACUCUUGAGAUACCUUCAUCUGCCACAUACUUUUAUACAGACAGUCAAGUGGUCCUAGGUUAUCUAUAUAAAUGAGACUAGGCGAUUUUACGUGUAUGUCAGCAAUCGAGUUGAUCGAAUUCUGAAGGUUUCUACAAAAUUGCAAUGGAACUAUGUGCCAACAAGCUAUAAUCCAGCAGAUCAUGGUACAAGACCAUUGGAAGUUAACAGUCUAAGACAAUCAGAAUGGUUAAAAGGUCCAAACACCUUUUUUGAGUCCCAGAAUUUAUCAGGUAGCACACUGUUUGAAGUCAUAGAACCAGAAGUCGACAAAGAAGUCAGACCAUUAGUAGAAGUAAAAAAGACAUUUGUUAAGUCAUCAGGUGUAGACAUAAGUUUAUUUGAACAUUUUUCAACAUGGACAAGUCUUGUCAGAGGUAUCGCAUUUCUUAAACAAAAAGCUUCAAUGUGGCACAAAGAUGCGACUGAUGAAAAGAACAGUAAGUCUUGCGUCACCUUUAUGAAGGAGUCUGAGAAGUUGAUUAUAAAGGAGGUACAACAAGACACAUAUUAUAAUGAGAUAGACUGCUUGAAGCAAAGUAAACCUUUACAAAAGAACAGUAGUUUAAUUGCACUUUCACCAGUAUUAGACUCCGAUGGAUUACUUCGAGUAGGAGGAAGACUUAAAAACUCAGACAUAGAAAGUUGUGAAAAAAUGCCUGUAAUUAUACCAGGUAAAAGCUACAUUGCUACAUUAAUAGUCAAGCACUGUCACAAUGCUGUUCAGCACAUGGGAAGACAUUUUACUGAAGGAGCAAUUCGUUCGAGAGGAAUAUGGUUGACUGGAGGUAAACGGCUCAUUAAUUCCAUCCUACACAACUGUAUAAAAUGUCGUAAAUUGCGAGGAAGUGCCGAACAACAGAAGAUGGCUGAUCUCCCUUCUGACCGUCUCACACCAAGCCCUCCAUUUACCUAUGUGGGCGUGGACACCUUUGGUCCUUGGUCCAUCUUAACAAGACGCACACGUGGAGGUUCAGCCAAUACAAAGCGAUGGGCGAUUAUGUUUUCCUGUCUAGUAACUCGAGCAAUACACAUAGAAGUGGUUGAGGAGAUGACUUCAUCUUCCUUUAUCAAUGCGUUGCGCAGAUUUACAGCUCUUCGAGGACCAGUCAAGGAAUUCCGAUCAGAUCAAGGUACAAAUUUCAUUGGAGCUAUUAAUGAACUAGACAUUACAAGUUUCAACGUUGAAGACCAACCAAUUAAAGACUAUCUCCAAAAUAAUGGAACCAUAUGGAAAUUUAACCCACCACACGCCUCCAAUAUGAGCGGUGCUUGGGAGCGUAUGAUAGGACUAGCUCGAAAGAUCUUGAAUUCAAUGUUGUGCGAUAUAAAAGGUAAACAACUUACACAUGAAAUUCUAUGCACUUUAAUGGCGGAAGUAUGUUGUAUUGUGAACAACAGACCAAUAACUGUAGUAUCUAGUGAUCCAGAGUCACCUCAUGUGUUAUCGCCGAAUGUCCUUCUCACUCACAAAACAGACAAUGAUACGGAAUAUAUUCCAGAUUUAUCACUUAAAGAUACUUAUAAAGCUCAAUGGAAACAAGUGCAAGUAUUAGCCAAUCAGUUUUGGAAAAGGUGGAAAACAGAAUACUUACACAAUCUUCAACUCAGGAAAAAGUGGGAAGUUGAAAGCCGCAAUCUAUGUAAGGAUGAUAUUGUGCUCAUGAUUGAUGAUACUCUGCAUAGGAAUCAGUGGUUAACAGGAACUAUAGUUGAAGUUUAUCCGAGUUCAGAUGGUUUGGUUCGUAAAGCAUUAGUACGUGUCAUCAAGAAUGGCGAACCAACAACUUACAUUCGUCCGAUUUCUAAACUUGUGUACUUAUUUUCUGAUAAGAAUCAGUUUGUGAAUGAAUGA